UUGCCUGAAUGAUGAUUAGAUUCUCUGUUUUGGAUCGCUGCAUUUAAACUGAGAAAGCAUGUACAGAAUGACGCGUUUGGUGUGUGAUAGAGUCAACAAUAAUAGCAUUGUUG
This is a long non-coding RNA of Sinocyclocheilus anshuiensis, 113 nucleotides long. RefSeq lists it as uncharacterized. The record is from RefSeq and is a predicted model, not a curated record. NCBI's taxonomy places the organism in Eukaryota, Metazoa, Chordata, Actinopteri, Cypriniformes, Cyprinidae. The transcript is spliced from 3 exons.